This 492-nucleotide ribosomal RNA is filed under the name uncultured bacterium. Its description in RNAcentral is "partial 16S ribosomal RNA". It matches the Rfam family "Bacterial small subunit ribosomal RNA", at positions 29 to 507 of the family's 1533-position model. The record is from RNAcentral.
AGUGAACGCUGGCGGUAGGCCUAACACAUGCAAGUCGAACGGCAGCACAGUAAGAGCUUGCUCUUACGGGUGGCGAGUGGCGGACGGGUGAGGAAUACAUCGGAAUCUACUUUUUCGUGGGGGAUAACGUAGGGAAACUUACGCUAAUACCGCAUACGACCUACGGGUGAAAGCAGGGGAUCUUCGGACCUUGCGCGAUUGAAUGAGCCGAUGUCGGAUUAGCUAGUUGGCGGGGUAAAGGCCCACCAAGGCGACGAUCCGUAGCUGGUCUGAGAGGAUGGUCAGCCACACUGGAACUUAGACACGGUCCAGACUCCUACGGGAGGGAGCAGUGGGGAAUAGUGGACAAUGGGGGGAAGCCUGAUCCAGCCAUACCGCGUGGGUGAAGAAGGCCUUCGGGUUGUAAAGCCCUUUUGUUGGGAAAGAAAAGCAGCAGGUUAAUACCCCGCUGUUCUGACGGUACCCAAAGAAUAAGCACCGGCUAACUUCGUG